CCUACGGGAGGCAGCAGUGGGGAAUAUUGCACAAUGGGGGAAACCCUGAUGCAGCGACGCCGCGUGAGUGAAGAAGUAUUUCGGUAUGUAAAGCUCUAUCAGCAGGGAAGAAAAUGACGGUACCUGAUUAAGAAGCCCCGGCUAACUACGUCCCAGCAGCCGCGGUCAUACGUAGGGGGCAAGCGUUAUACGGAUUUACUGGGUGUAAAGGGAGCGUAGACGGCAGCACAAGUCUGGAGUGAAAUGCCGGGGCUUAACCCCGGAACGGCUUUGGAAACUGUGCAUCUAGAGUGCAGGAGAGGUAAGUGGAAUUCCUAGUGUAGCGGUGAAAUGCGUAGAUAUUAGGAGGAACACCAGUGGCGAAGGCGGCUUACUGGACUGUAACUGACGUUGAGGCUCGAAAGCGUGGGGAGCAAACAGGAUUAGAUACCCUAGUAGUC
RNAcentral lists this ribosomal RNA (440 nucleotides) under uncultured bacterium. Its description in RNAcentral is "partial 16S ribosomal RNA". It matches the Rfam family "Bacterial small subunit ribosomal RNA", at positions 338 to 795 of the family's 1533-position model. The record is from RNAcentral.